UCUCCUCUGCCUCCUCUGUGCGUGCGGGUCUCUGCGUGCGGGUCUCUGCGUGCGGGUCUCUGCGUGCGGGACUGUGCGUGUAUCUGUGCGCGUGUAUCUGUGCGCGUGUUUGCGGGUCUGUGGAAAUGUCGCACGCGGUGGGGAGCACGAGCACGUCGGGCACGCGCACUCCGGACGGUCUCCUGAAUCUGGGCUACAUCCGGACCAUCCCGGGCCUGCUGCAGAGCGGACAACUGGUGGCGCUCCUGGUCACGUUCCUGUGCAUUCACCUGGCGCGGGGGUGGCCCAGCUGGUACGCCUUCCAGUUCUUUGAGGUUGUGGCUCUUUGGUUCUUUGUGGCUCUUCUCGUUUUCUUCUUCAUCCACAUCUUCAGCCUGAACAGCAGGACGCCCUGCAUCAACUGCCCCCUGACGGAGUUCUUUCAUUACUGCGUGGGCUCCGUCCUCGUCCUCGUCGCCUCCAUCGUCGGAGCCGUGAAGGCGUCAGGAGUUUCUGCUCUGGUCACUGCCACGGUACAAGUACUACAAGUACUACUACAAAUACUACUGUGUUUGGGUUCAUCACCUCGUUCCUGAUGCUCGUGUCUCUGUGGACGACCUACAGCGUCUCCUGCGGCGCUCAUCAGACAGGUGCGGUCGUCUAAUCCAGUAAAAUGGCGGCUGUGGGAGUUUCGGGGCGUCACAAUCAAACUCUGCCCGGGAACCGCUGGGACCCUGCGUCUGAUUGGACGAGGCCCGGAGGCGUCGUCCAAUCAGAGCCCGGUGUCCGGCCCACACAGAUUUGGUCCAGAACCACAAACGACCACAAACGACAAUAAACAACGACCACAAACGACAAUAAACAACGACCACAAACGACAAUAAACAACGACCGCAAACGACAAUAAACAACGACCACAAACGACAAUAAACAACGACCGCAAACGACAAUAAACAACGACCGCAAACGACAAUAAACAACGACGCAAACGACAAUAAACAACGACCGCAAACGACAAUAAACAACGACCACAAACGACAAUAAAUAACGACCACAAACGACGAUAAACAACGACCACAAACAACAAUAAAUAACCAGGGCAUCAGGUUUAAAAUGUGCUUUUCAUUUUAAAUGUGCUUUUCAUUUUAAAUAAAUUCUGAAAUUCCAGUCUUGGUGCUAGACCUCACCGAACAUCAGAGGGCGCCGUAGGACCCCUGGUUUAGUCCUGGUUUAGACCUGGUUUAGUCCUGGUUUAGUCCUGGUUUAGACCUGGUUUAGUCCUGGUUCUGGACCAGACUCUGUUGGUUCUGUUCUGACUGUUUCCCAAGUGCCUUAAGCUUCACUUUUCAUUUGAGCCUCAUGAAGUACAUAAAAGUAUUACAGUAACUGUUCUAGUGAGUAAAAGUGUUUUAUUCUAUUGAGUACUACAGUGAGUACUACAGUGAGUACUACAGGAAGUACUACAGUGAGUACUACAGUGAGUACUACAGGAAGUACUACAGUGAGUACUACAGUAACUCCAUCAGUGUUGAAUCAUCUGCUGCAUGAAAAUAAAAAAACUGCACAAA
Boleophthalmus pectinirostris (great blue-spotted mudskipper) is the source of this 1547-nucleotide RNA transcript. It is a transcript of the gene named CKLF-like MARVEL transmembrane domain containing 7, with no coding region annotated. The transcript has 6 exons. NCBI's taxonomy places the organism in Eukaryota, Metazoa, Chordata, Actinopteri, Gobiiformes, Gobiidae. The record is from RefSeq and is a predicted model, not a curated record.